CUAUAAAAGGGCGCGCAGGCAACGCGCUCUAUCCAGUUGAAAAGAGUGCGUUGUAAAGAACAGUCAUAAGCAGUCCGCUAAGAGAUUAGUAGCAACUACGAAGUGAAGUCGCAAACAUGUGCAAGGCUGUUGUAGAUUGUAAAGAAAGAAUGAAGGAUUGGAAGAGUGUGAGGAGACGCUGAGCAAACGGCCUUCAAAUCGAAAGUGGUGUGAGUCAUGCUGCCACCAGAUAUCCAUGCGAAAAGCCACCAGGCAUUGGUCACGGAGCACACUCGUUUCCUGCUCCUCGCACGUUAAUGGCAACGAUGAUGAGGAACGGAACACAAACAAGAAACUACGUCGCAGUGGGUCACUGAAUGAAUCCGCGUCCCGGUAGCAACAAUAGUUCGACUAUGGCUGGUACUGGUAAAGAAGAAUCCCGAACCCGAUCGUCGCAGUGACGAUGACGUUGCGUUGUAGAGUUACUGAGUGAGUCUCAACGUCUGUCCGAGUCCCCCCACGUCCAACGCCAGGCACUGAGUUCCGCAAACCAGCCGAUGGCCGAUUCUACACAGAUCGCCGGAGCAGGGAGCAGCAGCAGCAAACACCACCGAGUCUCCUCUGCAUGCCAAUGCCCAUGCAAUUCAGUCGCAGCGGACAGAACAUUGGGGACAAGGCGGAAUGCGCGCGGCAGCAGCUCCAGCUCGCAUCAGCUUACCUGCGUUUGAAGCUCUCGUUGCCAACCACCGACAAUCACCACCUAUUCUGCAUUGAACGCUUCGCAGCUGCUGAUCACCACCCACCCAUCCGCACAGAUACACGGUAUUUGGUAUAUCAGCUGCGAACAAAAUAUUGCUUUUUAAACAAAAUUCCAGAGAUAAGAACAGCGGAACAGAACAUUUAUCAUCGAAACGACACUGAGGAACUGCUGUAAUCCUUUUGAGUGAACACCUUGUGGGAUUGUUAUUGUGAUAAACAAUUGAAUGGCAGUCGUCGAGUUUUUAUCUUUAUCUUUAUUCGCUCGGUACACUUUCCUGGACUUCUCUUUCACCGUUUAUGAUUUUGGCAAGCGAUUAUUGGACCCUUUGCAUUCAAACUCCCCAUCUUCCUAAUCAAUAGGCUAGAUAAGGCCGCUUAAAUCUUUGUAGCUGCAUGUCACAGUUGAUCGGUUCCUGUGGGUGCAUUUGUUUGAUGGGAUUACUUUGCCGUCUUCAAGUAUUCACGGUCUUGAGGGCACCAGACGAGGAUCUUCCAAGCAAAUUUAAACGGAAGCCGGCGUGAAAGAGUGUGUAGACUAGGCACGACCAUCACUUUUCGUUUUUUUUUUUUUUAGCGUUGCAUCGCAGUUGAUCGGUGCCUGCGGGCAUGUAUAAAUGGAACCUAGCGAGGCGGAAGCUUGAGCUCUUCAAUUCUAUGACCCAAAACAACGCUCCUGCGACAGCAAGCCUUCAAUUAGAAUAUGUGCAAAGAAGCAUAACUAAUCAACUGAACAAGCGUAAAAGCUAAGAUAAAU
This is a long non-coding RNA of Drosophila mauritiana, 1492 nucleotides long. RefSeq lists it as uncharacterized. Lineage: Eukaryota; Metazoa; Arthropoda; Insecta; Diptera; Drosophilidae. The record is from RefSeq and is a predicted model, not a curated record. The transcript is spliced from 3 exons.